Molecule: long non-coding RNA, 2030 nt
Organism: Mesocricetus auratus (golden hamster)
Lineage: Eukaryota; Metazoa; Chordata; Mammalia; Rodentia; Cricetidae
Exons: 2
Source: RefSeq, a predicted model, not a curated record
GGCUGCCUCUUAAAGAUUUCCUGUCUCCUUGUUCUCAAUCAUGUCCCCAGUCAACCAACAUGAAGAGCAAGUGUAUUAGUCAGAGUUUUCCAGAGUGAAAGAACUUAUAGAAUGACUCUUUAUAGAUAUACAAAAGGGAUUCAUUUCCAAGUAAAAGAACUUUUAGGAUGGCUACAUUUAUGUAUAUGGGAUUCUUAUAGGCUAUGGUCUAACUAAGCCAACAAUGGUUGGCUAUGAAUAGAAAGUGUGAGAAUCCAGUGGUUGCUGUUUCAGCCGGUUUUCUAUAUAGGCUGGAAUCCCGAAGAAUCAGGCUCUAAUACUGGUGAAGGAAUGGACUUGCUAUCAAGGUGGAAGCAAGCAUGCAACGAGCAAAGGCUUCCUCUUUCCAUGUCCUUAUACAGGCUUCCAGCAGAAGGUGUGGCCCAGAUUAGAGAAGGUUUUCCCAGUUAUAUUAUCUGGAUGAAAGAUUUGCCUCACACGGAGAGAAGACUAUGAUAAAUGCACAGUUGUCUUAUGGCAGCAUGGAAAACUCGAGAACUAAAGAAAGACAGCAAUACCCUGAGAAACUUGAUGUCACACACCCUGAAAUGUAUUCUUGGGCAGAAAUUGAGGAAAAAACUUUGAAUGAGGUGAAUUAAUCUUUGGUAAAAUCUCAUCCUUUGACUUUAUUUCACCAAUAUAACCUGUAACACUCCCUCCAUUUGACACAUAUAGUUGUGUUUUGCCUAUGGACAGGGACACAACCUGAGAAAUGUGGUCUUUGAACUUUCACUUGAGAAACACUACAGUCCUGUGCUCACACAAACUCUAUGCUUGCACAAUCCCUGUACUCUACCACAGCACUAUGUCCAGCAGUCUGGUGGGACCACUGUGUACAUGUGCCACAUGAGGGACAAGAGCAUUCUGUGGCACGUGACUUUUAUUUAGACUUGAAAUGUCAGGUCAUCCUAAAAGAAAUUGAUUUUUGUUUGUUGUAAAUCUUGGCUUAUAGUGGAUGCUCAUCGUAUAUUUUCUGGAUGAUGGUGUGCAAGGUAAGCCAAGGGCAACCUGUAGUGGCAUCUUGCCUGUGAACCUGCAUAGGUGACCACAUCCCUUUAGGCUUGGCUUCAGGCUAACAGAAGUGGAAAGAGGAAAGCGUGAGACGCGGUCUCUCUCGUGGGCUCUUUCUCUUGGGUCAGGGGAUCUGAUUGGAAGGACAAAGAAAUGUUCCCCUGUUCUUUAUUAUUAUUAUCUGUGAAAGUGUCCCCCAAUAAACACCCAUGUAUCAUUUAUCUUGGGUCUAGUGAAAUCAUUACACCCUGGCCUUCAGCAACACCUAGGAUAAAUGUCAGUUUAGGCAUUUUUAUGCUAAAACACAGGCUUACUUAGCUUUGGAAUUAUAAUGAUGUUAGUUAAAUGUUUUGUAAUAUAAUGUUAAUUCCUCUGCCUACAUGAAAGAACUUCUUUUAUUCCUUGAUAAAUUCAGCUGUCACUCAAGAAAUUAGAAUCUUCCUGUUGCUGUCAAGAGACACCAUGAUCAUGGCAAUUCUGAUAAAGGAACAAUUUUAAUUGGGGUAGUUUACAUUUUCAGAAGUUUAAUCCAUUAUCAUCAUGGUGGGACAUGGCAGCAGGCAGGCAGAGAAGGUGAUGGAGAAGAAGCUGAGAGUCCUAUGUCUUGCAGGCAACAGGAAGUGGUCUGAGUCACUGGCCAGUAUCUUGAGCAUAUAUGAGAACUCAGAGACCAACUCCACAGUGACAUACAUCCUCCAAUAAGAUCAUACCUGCUCUGCCAAGACCAGACCUCCUAGUAGUGCCACUCCAUUUGGAGGCCAUUUUCUUUCAAACCACCACAUUCCACCUCCUGGCUCCAAAGACUUGUAGUCAUAUCAUAAUGCAAAAAUGCAUUCAGUUCAACAUCAAAGUCCGCAUAGUUUAUAACAGUCUCAAACUUACUUAAAAGUGUAAGGUUCAAAGUCUCUUCUGAGAUUCAUGCAAUCUCUUAACUGUAAUCCCUUGUAAAAAUAAAAAUAAAAACAUGUCCAUUUGUUACA